Non-coding RNA from Bacteroidetes bacterium GWE2_40_15, 68 nucleotides. NCBI's taxonomy places the organism in Bacteria, Pseudomonadati, Bacteroidota. The record is from Rfam.
ACAAUGAAGAGUUUGAUCCUGGCUCAGGAUGAACGCUAGCGGCAGGCUUAACACAUGCAAGUCGAGGG